UGGGGAAUAUUGGACAAUGGGGGCAACCCUGAUCCAGCCAUGCCGCGUGUGUGAAGAAGGCCUUUUGGUUGUAAAGCACUUUAAGCAGGGAGGAGAGGCUAAUGGUUAAUACCCAUUAGAUUAGACGUUACCUGCAGAAUAAGCACCGGCUAACUCUGUGCCAGCAGCCGCGGUAAUACAGAGGGUGCGAGCGUUAAUCGGAAUUACUGGGCGUAAAGCGAGUGUAGGUGGCUCAUUAAGUCACAUGUGAAAUCCCCGGGCUUAACCUGGGAACUGCUGUGUAUACUGGUGGUGCUAGAAUACGUGAGAGGGAAGUAGAAUUCCAGGUGUAGCGGUGAAAUGCGUAGGGAUCUGGAGGAAUACCGAUGGCGAAGGCAGCUUCCUGGCAUAAUAUUGACACUGAGAUUCGAAAGCGUGGGUAGCAAACAGGAUUAGAUACCCUGGUAGUCCACGCCGUAAAACGAUGUCUACUAGCCGUUGGGGUCCUUGAGACUUUAGUGGCGCAGUUAACGCGGUAAGUAGACCGCCUGGGGAGUACGGCCGCAAGGUUAAAAACUCAAAAUGAAUUGACGGGGUCAUAGCUGUUUCCU
RNAcentral lists this ribosomal RNA (590 nucleotides) under uncultured bacterium. Its description in RNAcentral is "partial 16S ribosomal RNA". It matches the Rfam family "Bacterial small subunit ribosomal RNA", at positions 355 to 1375 of the family's 1533-position model. The record is from RNAcentral.